CCUACGGGAGGCAGCAGGGGGGAAUAUUGGACAAUGGGCGCAAGCCUGAUCCAGCCAUGCCGCGUGGGUGAAGAAGGCCUUAGGGUUGUAAACCCCUUUCAGCGGGGAAGAUAAUGACGGUACCCGCAGAAGAAGUCCCGGCUAACUCCGUGCCAGCAGCCGCGGUAAU
Molecule: ribosomal RNA, 169 nt
Filed under: uncultured bacterium
Lineage: Bacteria
Description: partial 16S ribosomal RNA
Rfam family: Bacterial small subunit ribosomal RNA
Source: RNAcentral